RNAcentral lists this ribosomal RNA (798 nucleotides) under uncultured archaeon. Its description in RNAcentral is "bacterial SSU rRNA". It matches the Rfam family "Archaeal small subunit ribosomal RNA", at positions 21 to 826 of the family's 1478-position model. The record is from RNAcentral.
CCUGACUGCUAUCGGAAUGAUACUAAGCCAUGCGAGUCAUUGUAGCAAUACAAGGCAUACGGCUCAGUAACGCGUAGUCAAUCUACCCUGUGGACGGGAAUAACCUCGGGAAACUGAGAAUAAUACCCGAUAGAACAUUAUGCCUGGAAUGGUUUAUGUUUCAAAUGAUUUAUCGCCAUAGGAUGGGACUGCUGCCUAUCAGUUUGUUGGUGAGGUAAUGGCCCACCAAGACUAUUACAGGUACGGGCUCUGAGAGGAGUAGCCCGGAGAUGGGUACUGAGACACGGACCCAGGCCCUAUGGGGCGCAGCAGGCGAGAAAACUUUGCAAUGUGCGAAAGCACGACAAGGUUAAUCCGAGUGGUUUCUGCUAAAGAAACCUUUUGCCAGUCCUAGAAACACUGGUGAAUAAGGGGUGGGCAAGUUCUGGUGUCAGCCGCCGCGGUAAAACCAGCACCUCAAGUGGUCAGGAUGAUUAUUGGGCCUAAAGCAUCCGUAGCUCGUUUUGUAAGUUUUCGGUUAAAUCCAUGCGCUCAACGUAUGGGCUGCCGGGAAUACUGCAUAACUAGGAAGUGGGAGAGGUAGACGGUACUCGGUAGGAAGGGGUAAAAUCCUUUGAUCUAUUGAUGACCACCUGUGACGAAGGCGGUCUACCAGAACACGUUCGACGGUGAGGGAUGAAAGCUGGGGGAGCAAACCGGAUUAGAUACCCGGGUAGUCCCAGCUGUAAACUAUGCAAACUCAGUGAUGCAUUGGCUUGUGGCCAAUGCAGUGCUGCAGGGAAGCCGUUAAGUUUGCCG